GCCUUUUCACCGUCGUAUGUGACGUCAUUUUCAUAAUUUACUGCGUUGAGGCCUGGACUGAGUCGGGUGUGUCUAUUCUGUGUUGGUCAUUCAUUAUGUAUUCGUGUUUGUUUUAUGUAAUGAGUUAAUACUUCAGUUUCAUUAUGUAUAUCUGUUAUAUUCAUUUGAUAAAAUUUACUGUUUGCAAUAGCAUUAAUUGUUCUAAAUAAUUAGGAUGUUCUUAUCCCAAGCAUACAAACUUAGCCGUAUUUGACACAACCUUUUUCAACUUUUGAUCUUCAGUGCUGUACAACUUUGUACUUUUUUUCGCUUUCGAUCUUUUAUAUCUGGGCGUCACUGGUGAGUCUUGUGUGGACGAGGCGCGUUUUUGGCGUAUUAAAUUUUAAACCUGAUGCUUUUUGUUAUUCAUUAAUC
This 414-nucleotide long non-coding RNA is filed under the name Mytilus galloprovincialis (Mediterranean mussel). Lineage: Eukaryota; Metazoa; Mollusca; Bivalvia; Mytilida; Mytilidae. The record is from RNAcentral.